CAGCCGCCGCGGUAAUACGUAGGGUGCAAGCGUUAAUCGGAAUUACUGGGCGUAAAGCGUGCGCAGGCGGUUAUAUAAGACAGAUGUGAAAUCCCCGGGCUCAACCUGGGAACUGCAUUUGUGACUGUAUAGCUAGAGUACGGCAGAGGGGGAUGGAAUUCCGCGUGUAGCAGUGAAAUGCGUAGAGAUGUGGAGGAAUACCGAUGGCGAAGGCAGCCCCCUGGGCCAAUACUGACGCUCAUGCACGAAAGCGUGGGGAGCAAACAGGAUUAGAUACCCCCGUAGUCCCUGUCUCUUAUAC
RNAcentral lists this ribosomal RNA (301 nucleotides) under uncultured bacterium. RNAcentral describes it as "partial 16S ribosomal RNA". It matches the Rfam family "Bacterial small subunit ribosomal RNA", at positions 509 to 807 of the family's 1533-position model. The record is from RNAcentral.